RNAcentral lists this ribosomal RNA (503 nucleotides) under uncultured bacterium. Its description in RNAcentral is "bacterial SSU rRNA". It matches the Rfam family "Bacterial small subunit ribosomal RNA", at positions 28 to 524 of the family's 1533-position model. The record is from RNAcentral.
GACGAACGCUGGCGGCGUGGAUUAGGCAUGCAAGUCGAACGGUAUCAUCCUUUCGGGGGUGAGAGAGUGGCGAACUGGUGAGUAACACGUAGGUUAUCUACCCUCAAGACGGGGACAACCCAGGGAAACUUGGGCUAAUACCGGAUGUGAGCAACUUUUAGUUGUUUGAAAGGUGGCGUAAGCUGUCGCUUGGGGAUGAGCCUGCGUCCUAUUAGUUAGUUGGUGAGGUAACGGCUCACCUAGGCAAUGAUAGGUAGGCGGCCUUAACGGGUGGUCGCCCACACUGGGAUUGAGAUACGGCCCAGACUCCUACGGGAGGCAGCAGUCGAGAAUAGUCUACAAUGGUCGGAAGACUGAUAGUGCGACGCCGCGUGAACGAUGAAUCCCUUCGGGGUGUAAAGUUCUUUUAUAUGUGAGCAGUGCUUCUUAUAUUAACAGUAUGGGAGAGAGAUAUUAGCAUAUGAAUAAGCAACGGCUAACUCCGUGCCAGCAGCCGCGGUAAA